Molecule: non-coding RNA, 657 nt
Organism: Peromyscus maniculatus bairdii (prairie deer mouse)
Lineage: Eukaryota; Metazoa; Chordata; Mammalia; Rodentia; Cricetidae
Source: RefSeq, a predicted model, not a curated record
GUGGGAUUUGAUGAUGCCACUGACUUUGGGUCAUAUCUGCUCCUGUAAGUCAUCUCACACCCAUAUUCCUGUAAAAUUUUGUCAUACAACACAGGCCUACUGUGAAAUGAUGGUCAGAAACAAAGAAAUUAAUGUACCUCCAGGGAGAUCACAAACAGUCACGGAAAUAUGGUAUUAUACAAGAGGCAAAAAUCAGCCAUCAAUGGCUAUAAGCCUAGAUAUACAAGACAGCUUAUUAAAUUUGAAGAAAUUGCAGAGAUGCAAUUUAUAGACUAAUCAGAAUGAAAUCAUAAACAGAUUGAAGUAAUAAAAGGACAAACAAAUCUCAGAGCUGAAAAACACAAUGAAUGAAAUUAAGAUUCAAUAAGAAAGAGAAGCAGCAUUGAUCAAGCAGAAAGAAAAAGUGAAAUUGAAGACAGGAAAUUGGAGUGAAGUGGAUGAGACUGAAUGAAGAGGGAGGGGAAACCUGAAGAAAGAAGGAGAAAAGAUUGAAGGGAUAAAGAAAAAGAGGAAGAUUAUUCAAAGUAAUAACAUCAUAUAACUUUCCAACCGUGGCUGAAAGUAUAAAUAUCAAGGUGCAGGAAGGUAAAAAAACCACAGAUUCAAGUCAAGUAAGACUACCUAAAAUCAUACGGUAAUAAAUUCUAAGUAAUUCAA